This 301-nucleotide ribosomal RNA is filed under the name uncultured bacterium. Its description in RNAcentral is "partial 16S ribosomal RNA". It matches the Rfam family "Bacterial small subunit ribosomal RNA", at positions 509 to 808 of the family's 1533-position model. The record is from RNAcentral.
CAGCAGCCACGGUAAUACGUAGGUCCCGAGCGUUGUCCGGAUUUAUUGGGCGUAAAGCGAGCGCAGGCGGUUAGAUAAGUCUGAAGUUAAAGGCUGUGGCUUAACCAUAGUAUGCUUUGGAAACUGUUUAACUUGAGUGCAGAAGGGGAGAGUGGAAUUCCAUGUGUAGCGGUGAGAUGCGUAGAUAUAUGGAGGAACACCGGUGGCGAAAGCGGCUCUCUGGCUUGUAACUGACGCUGAGGCUCGAAAGCGUGGGGAGCAAACAGGAUUAGAUACCCCCGUAGUCCCUGUCUCUUAUACA